This 1403-nucleotide ribosomal RNA is filed under the name uncultured bacterium. Its description in RNAcentral is "bacterial SSU rRNA". It matches the Rfam family "Bacterial small subunit ribosomal RNA". The record is from RNAcentral.
AGAGUUUGAUCCUGGCUCAGGAUGCAUGUUAGCGGCAGGCUUAACACAUGCAAGUCGAGGGGCAGCGGGGAGGAAGCUUGCUUUCUCCGCCGGCGACCGGCGCACGGGUGAGUAACACGUAUGCAACCUGCCCCUGUCAGGGGGACAACCCGCCGAAAGGCGGGCUAAACCCGCGUACAUGCCACCGGGGCAUCCCGGAGGCAGGAAAGGCUUCGGCCGGACAGGGAUGGGCAUGCGGCGCAUUAGGCAGUAGGCGGGGUAACGGCCCACCUAACCGACGAUGCGUAGGGGUUCUGAGAGGAAGGUCCCCCACACUGGUACUGAGACACGGACCAGACUCCUACGGGAGGCAGCAGUGAGGAAUAUUGGUCAAUGGUCGGGAGACUGAACCAGCCAAGCCGCGUGAGGGAGGAAGGUACAGAGUAUCGUAAACCUCUUUUGUCAGGGAACAAAGGCGGGGACGUGUCCCCGGAUGAGUGUACCUGAAGAAAAAGCAUCGGCUAACUCCGUGCCAGCAGCCGCGGUAAUACGGAGGAUACGAGCGUUAUCCGGAUUUAUUGGGUUUAAAGGGUGCGCAGGCGGUCUGUUAAGUCAGCGGUCAAAGCCCGGGGCUCAACCCCGGCCCGCCGUUGAAACUGGCAGUCUCGAGUUGGAGAGAAGUAUGCGGAAUGCGCGGUGUAGCGGUGAAAUGCAUAGAUAUCGCGCAGAACUCCGAUUGCGAAGGCAGCAUGCCGGCUCCACACUGACGCUGAGGCACGAAAGCGUGGGUAUCGAACAGGAUUAGAUACCCUGGUAGUCCACGCAGUAAACGAUGAAUGCUGGCUGUCCGGGGGGAUUGACCCCUGGGUGGCGAAGCGAAAGCGAUAAGCAUUCCACCUGGGGAGUACGCCGGCAACGGUGAAACUCAAAGGAAUUGACGGGGGCCCGCACAAGCGGUGGAGCAUGUGGUUUAAUUCGAAGCAACGCGAAGAACCUUACCAGGUCUUGACAUCCAGUGCAAACCUAAGAGAUUAGGUGUUCCCUUCGGGGACGCUGAGACAGGUGGUGCAUGGCUGUCGUCAGCUCGUGUCGUGAGAUGUUGGGUUAAGUCCAGCAACGAGCGCAACCCUUGUCAUUAGUUGCCAUCAUUAAGUUGGGCACUCUAAUGAGACUGCCGGUGACAAACCGGAGGAAGGUGGGGAUGACGUCAAGUCAUCAUGCCCCUUAUGACCUGGGCUACACACGUGCUACAAUGGACGGUACAACGAGAAGCGAACCUGCGAAGGCAAGCGGAUCUCUUAAAGCCGUUCUCAGUUCGGACUGUAGGCUGCAACUCGCCUACACGAAGCUGGAAUCGCUAGUAAUCGCGGAUCAGCACGCCGCGGUGAAUUCGUUCCCGGGCCUUGCCCUCAAGGGCCGUCAAG